This is a long non-coding RNA of Daphnia pulex (common water flea), 1755 nucleotides long. RefSeq lists it as uncharacterized. Lineage: Eukaryota; Metazoa; Arthropoda; Branchiopoda; Diplostraca; Daphniidae. The transcript has 6 exons. The record is from RefSeq and is a predicted model, not a curated record.
UUCUCAGGCGACACGCGACAGCACAGACGUUGUAUAGUGAGGCUGCCAUCAGGAUAAAUUGCAAAGUUUCAGUAUCGAGUUUUUGCGAGCAUUUUGGGGAAAAUGAGUCAGUUUACGCAGAAAUUUGCUUGUUUUUCUCUAUUGCCUAAAAUGUUCCCUGUUCCGUUAUAGCCGUUACCUCUUAACGUGAUUGAAACUUGAAACAAGUCAGUCACAUUAAAGAAAGGUUUGAAACAGCCCAUGUGCCCAGCAGAUCACAUUGGUGCAAUAAGUGAGUCAUCUUCCUUAAAAAAAAAAUUUUACAAGAAGAUCACACGAUCACACUACCACUUAGGCUCUUAGCCCCUGAUGCAAUAGCAGCAAGUCUAAGGGUACAGUGUGAUUUUUAAUAUUACCUCUGAUUGUGAAUAACCCGGUGAUGUAGGACAAGUAUGUAACGAAGUAAACUCAAACAUUCAGUGACUGCAACUCCUAUCUAUGUGAAUCUGCCAGACAGAAUUUUCAGUUCACCUAAUAGCAUUUUUAAAGAAGUGAGGAGAACGCUUGUGUGGAAUCGUCGAAAAGCAACCCAGUUUUUGCUAACUUGUUCGUGAAGGUUCAAUGGAGAAAAACGUCGAAAUACCUUUUCAUCCUUUCAUUCAACAGCUUCCACAGUGUGAUCAACAAGAUUAUUGAACUCUGGAAUCUUUGGGUCACGAUCUACAUGGACGCCAAUGCUGGUUCAUUACAAAACUCAUCUUUGUUGCCUAAUAAAGUGAAAUUCUUGAAGAAAUUGGCUUUGGUGAUGGAGGAAAGUCAUACAUGACACUACUCGAGCCCCCAUUAGAUGAACUGUUGCUGCAGUUUUGGCCAAGACGGAAUUUGAAAAGCCCCUCUAUUAGAAGCUGCACUGUCUGAGGCAGGUGACUAACAAGCAUAGUGAUGCAUACCAUUUAAUUGCUUUUUUUUGUUAAUAAUUCGUUAUAUUUUGGCAGCAAAAAUUGCUAGAGAGGAAUUUCAAUCGAUAUCCAAGGUUGAGUAAACUUGUGCUAAUGACAGGAAACUACGCCAGCUUCUACGGUAGUUGCAGAUUACGUGAGCCCGUCGAUGUUCCCAAGUACUAUAAUAUCAUCAAGAAUCCUAUGUACUUGCGAAUGGUUGAAACCAAGACUAGAAAGAGAAGCCACCAAUGAUUUUACGAUUCUUUUCGUAGUAGUUGCUUAUUUCCAGUCAGAUUUGGAAUUCCAUGAAAUGCUGCCGAGGUUGGAUCAUGGACCAUGUUGGCAUAUCAUUCAAUUGGCUGAAGAAGAUCUUGGUUCUCUGGUUCUCUCGAAUGACUCGAAACAACAACUCACACAUCUCGUCCAGGAGUAACUCGCUUAUUUUGGGGAUCCAGCAAAGAAAACCUUCACUCCUCGCUCGAAUUUUCCAGUGGCUAUCCAAAUUAGAUCCACUCACCAUUUGACAUCGAAAACCACUGCUUGUUUCAUUCAAACUGCUGGACAGCCUUCCGGCGAUCGCGAUGGAAAGAGCUGCCAUAUCUUAUCUCAUUAAUUUCAGGGAUUCGCCAUCUGUCAUGCCGGUCUAUUAGAGCAGUAGUGAACGUUUUAGUACAACGGCGAGCAGGAUUGUCCCGCGUCUUUCGGGUGACACACCUUUUUGAGGGGAUAAAAGGACCAAUCGCGAAGGAACCAAGAACCCGGGAACUUUAAAUGGCCGCAAAUCAUGUCCUCCAGACUCCACGGCAGGAAACGUUCCAUCUCCUUCUCGUCCCGG